CCUACGUGAGGCAGCAGUGAGGAAUAUUGGUCAAUGGGCGCGAGCCUGAACCAGCCAAGUAGCGUGAAGGAUGACUGCCCUACGGGUUGUAAACUUCUUUUAUAAAGGAAUAAAGUGAGGCACGUGUGCCUUUUUGUAUGUACUUUAUGAAUAAGGAUCGGCUAACUCCGUGCCAGCAGCAGCGGUAAUACGGAGGAUCCGAGCGUUAUCCGGAUUUAUUGGGUUUAAAGGGAGCGUAGAUGGGUUGUUAAGUCAGUUGUGAAAGUUUGCGGCUAAACCGUAAAAUUGCAAUUGAUACUGGCAGUCUUGAAUACAGUUGAGGUAGGCGGAAUUCGUGGUGUAGCGGUGAAAUGCUUAGAUAUCACGAAGAACUCCGAUUGCGAAGGCAGCUUACUAAACUGCCACUGACAUUGAUGCUCGAAAGUGUGGGUAUCAAACAGGAUUAGAUACCCGGGUAGUC
RNAcentral lists this ribosomal RNA (460 nucleotides) under uncultured bacterium. Its description in RNAcentral is "partial 16S ribosomal RNA". It matches the Rfam family "Bacterial small subunit ribosomal RNA", at positions 338 to 795 of the family's 1533-position model. The record is from RNAcentral.